CAGAAUUUAUUUCAGCAUACACAAUAAUGGCUGAGGCUGCACCACCAGUUGUCCCUAGCGUUGAGUUGCUGGAAUGGCCAAAGAAGGAUAAGCACCGAUUCUUGCAUGCUGUGUAUCGAGUGGGCGACCUCGAUCGCACCAUCAAGUUCGAAUCCCCCUUAGGAGAAAUAUUACUCAUUUUGUUUGUGCUAAAUGUGAUAUCCUUAAAUUUCUUGAGUUCAAGUUACUUUUGCUUUUAUGUUUUAGGUUUUACACUGAAUGUUUUGGGAUGAAGCUAUUGAGGAAGAGGGACGUUCCAGAAGAAAAAUUUUCAAAUGCUUUUCUUGGGUUUGGUCCUGAAGAGUCUCACUUUGUAGUGGAAUUGACAUACAGUAUGUUGAGGCUUUUCAAUAAAGAUUUUUACGUUAUUAAUUGCUAUUUAACUUUCGAAGUUCUCGAUUUCGCAUGAUUGUUUGAUUCUCGGUUCAUUAUAUAUCACUUUCAUUGCGCGGUUCUGCGUUGGUACUUCAUAAAGUGCUUGUGAUAUACUCCUCAUCUCCCCUUCCUGCUCUCAAAAAUGCGCACACAGCUGCACAAAACACUAAUCCAAUUAUCAGAAUUCAUAUUUUCCCAUCCAAAUGAAGGAGGAUAUCCAAUAAAUGGAAUUCAUAAUUUAUAUUCGAGAGGAAUGGACAACACUAGAAAUGGCAAAUGUAUUGAUUAAGAGCUUGUUUGGGAAGGAUUUUUGCUAGUGAAAAAUGGUAUUUUUACAGAAUAUGUGGUUAAAAACGAAGGCAAAGUUAUGGGUCCCAUGGAAUGUGUGGUUAAAAUGAUUUUCAAAAAUUAUCUCCUGAACAAGUUCUCAACAAACUGGAAUCAAUCUAAAGAAUUAUUUCUUUAAUAUUGAUACAUCAUAAUUCUUGUUUGAUUCUCUCUGAUACUAUUCCCAGACUAUGGAGUUGAUAAAUAUGACAUUGGAACUGGAUUUGGACAUUUUGCAAUCGCAACUCAAGAUGUAAGUGUUUAUCUUGUUUGCUUUUUCUUUGUGCCGAUGAUCGAAGUGCUUAUCUAUAGGCCAUAUUAUGGUGCCUUGCAUAGUUUAGUUUGCCUGACAUUUUCUGUUUCCAUCCGUUAGGUUUAUAAACUGGUUGAAGACAUAAAGUCCAAGGGUGGAACUGUCACUCGAGAGCCAGGUCCAGUUAAAGGUGGAUCAUCUGUGAUUGCAUUUGUUAAGGAUCCUGAUGGCUACCUUUUCGAACUAAUUCAACGCGGUCCAACUCCUGAACCACUCUGUCAAGUGAUGCUUCGUGUGGGUGACCUUGAACGUUCUAUCAAAUUUUAUGAAAAGGUGAACUAUUCUUCGUUUUAAAUUCGUGUAAGUUUGGUUUAGGUUUUGAAGCUACCUCUUCAAUUGAUCUAUUUCUGGAGGUCUUAUCUCUGCUCUUCCCAUGUGCAUAAAUAAACGAAAUACCUGCUAUGUGCGUCUCCAAGAAUUAGUGCAUCUAUCAGCCAUUGUGGAUGUCAUGAUAAGACAAAAAUGUUGAAGUCUGUAGAAAAUUGGUUUUUUGAUUACCAGAAGAAUGAAUGUUAUAAGAAAGUUCCACUUUAAUCCUUCAAAAAUAAUGGUAUCAACAGUCUUCUCUUCUGUAACCUUCGACUUCCAUAUAGAUGCUGCAGUGUAAUAUUAAUGUGCAGUCUGGAGCGAUUGGUUCUCUGAAAAUAUGCUGAUAUUUAUCGCUCUUUAUUCACACAGGCAUUGGGGAUGAAACUCUUGAAGAAAACUGACAGACCAGAACAAAAGGUAUCACCAAAUGCAACCACUUUUUCUUUGGACUUCAACCUUUUAUUUUCCUUGGGAAUUUGCUAAUGCAGUGACAACAAACGUUGUUGUACUGUGCAGUACACCAUAGCAAUGAUGGGAUAUGCUGAUGAAUAUAAGACAACUGUCCUUGAGUUGACAUACAAUUAUGGUGUGACUGAAUAUACCAAAGGAAAUGCGUAUGCACAGGUUUGUUAUAUGCUUGUGAAAAUUCUUCAGUUUUUAUCAUUCAACUCUGGCCUCAUGGUGGAUGUAAUAAUAUUUCUAGGUUGCAAUCAGUACUGAGGAUGUAUAUAAAAGUGCCGAGGUUGUGAAUCUUGUAACCCAAGAGCUUGGAGGAAAGAUAACUCGGCAACCAGGACCACUUCCUGGACUGAACACUAAGAUCACUUCUUUCCUAGAUCCAGAUGGUUGGAAAACAGUAAGUUCUCACUUCUCAGGGAUUCAUACUGUACCUUGGAUUUUGACAUUAAUAUUAAUGUUACUAUUGCAUUCUCUCUUCAGAGUUUCGCUUUUCGACUGCAAUUAGUAGUAUUUGAGUACCUCUUCUCCACCCCUCGUGAGCUCGCCACCGUUUGCCCCCAUUAAUUUUUAUUACAUUUUCCUCUCACAUGUUUUCAACCACACAAUCAUACAUAAAAUAAUAUUACACGUAAGUAAAAAACUUUUCCUUUUUUAACCACUUAUUUAAAAAAAAAAACACUAUUCCACCCAUUUCAUUUCCAAAUAAAUGGGGGCCAAACAGGGGAUAUAAGAUUAUGUGCUUCAUUUUUUGUAGGCUAUAUAUGAAAUGAGACAAUUUAUCCAUACUGGUUGCACUGUGACUUGUUCUGAACAUUGGUUAGCCCAUAGUGAUAGCUUCAUCUUGAUGUAAGCUCGUUUCACCGUUUCUGUUGUAUUUAGGUUCUGGUCGAUCACGCAGAUUUUCUGAAGGAAUUGGAGAUCAAAGAGUAAUGAGCACGGUUGUGAUUAAGGGACUGGAUUUCAAAUCUGGGGUUAAUAGUUUAGCUAUGGUAAAUAAAUAACCCCGGACGAGUAGUAUUUGCCAGUAUUGAGUUUUAAUCCAAGUCAGAAUGCAGUGUUAACCAUGUUUUGAGUACACAGCGAGCUUUUCUCUGAUGUAUUUUACUGCAUUAUCUUAUGAGUACUUUUCAAACUUUUCUCUGAGAUCUAAUCCAGUCAGAAUGAACUGUGUUUAUGUUUAUAUUUCAAGAUUUUUCA
This 3019-nucleotide long non-coding RNA is filed under the name Olea europaea subsp. europaea. Lineage: Eukaryota; Viridiplantae; Streptophyta; Magnoliopsida; Lamiales; Oleaceae. The record is from RNAcentral.